AAGGUCCCAAGGGUUGGGCUGUUCGCCCAUUAAAGUGGCACGCGAGCUGGGUUCAGAACGUCGCGAGACAGUUCGGUCUCUAUCUACUAUGGGCGUUAGAAAUUUGAAGGGAGCUGACUUUAGUACGAGAGGACCGAGUCGGACGAACCUCUAGUGUACCUGUUGUGGCGCCAGCUGCAUCGCAGGGUAGCUAUGUUCGGAUGGGAUAAGUACUGAAAGCAUAUAAGUACGAAGCCCACCUUAAGAUGAGAUUUCUUUCAAGGGUCGUUCGAGACUAGGACGUUGAUAGGCUACAGGUGUAAAGGCAGCAAUGUCAUAGCCGAGUAGUACUAAUUACCCGUAGAUUUUUUACCG
RNAcentral lists this ribosomal RNA (354 nucleotides) under Flavobacteriales bacterium. Its description in RNAcentral is "partial 23S ribosomal RNA". It matches the Rfam family "Bacterial large subunit ribosomal RNA", at positions 2559 to 2925 of the family's 2925-position model. The record is from RNAcentral. Lineage: Bacteria; Pseudomonadati; Bacteroidota; Flavobacteriia; Flavobacteriales.